This 544-nucleotide ribosomal RNA is filed under the name uncultured Xanthobacter sp. RNAcentral describes it as "bacterial SSU rRNA". It matches the Rfam family "Bacterial small subunit ribosomal RNA", at positions 43 to 635 of the family's 1533-position model. Lineage: Bacteria; Pseudomonadati; Pseudomonadota; Alphaproteobacteria; Hyphomicrobiales; Xanthobacteraceae. The record is from RNAcentral.
CAGGCCUAACACAUGCAAGUCGAGCGCCCGGCAACGGGAGCGGCAGACGGGUGAGUAACGCGUGGGGAUCUGCCCGAUGGUACGGAAUAACUCUGGGAAACUGGAAUUAAUACCGUAUAAGCCCGCAAGGGGAAAGAUUUAUUGCCAUCGGAUGAACCCGCGUCAGAUUAGCUAGUUGGUGGGGUAAAGGCUCACCAAGGCGACGAUCUGUAGCUGGUCUGAGAGGAUGAUCAGCCACACUGGGACUGAGACACGGCCCAGACUCCUACGGGAGGCAGCAGUGGGGAAUAUUGGACAAUGGGCGCAAGCCUGAUCCAGCCAUGCCGCGUGAGUGAUGAAGGCCUUAGGGUUGUAAAGCUCUUUCGCCGGUGAAGAUAAUGACGGUAACCGGAGAAGAAGCCCCGGCUAACUUCGUGCCAGCAGCCGCGGUAAUACGAAGGGGGCAAGCGUUGCUCGGAAUCACUGGGCGUAAAGUGCACGUAGGCGGGUCGUUAAGUCAGAGGUGAAAGCCUGGAGCUCAACUCCAGAACUGCCUUUGAUACUG